Molecule: ribosomal RNA, 329 nt
Filed under: uncultured eukaryote
Lineage: Eukaryota
Description: partial 18S ribosomal RNA
Rfam family: Eukaryotic small subunit ribosomal RNA
Source: RNAcentral
CCCUUAGACGUUCUGGGCCGCACGCGCGCUACACUGACCGGUGCAACAAGCAUCCGUCCUUGGCCGACAGGCCUGGGUAAUCUUUUGAACUUUCGUCGUGAUGGGGCUAGACCCUUGCAAUUAUUGGUCUCCAACGAGGAAUUCCUAGUAAACGCAAGUCAUCAGCUUGCAUUGAUUACGUCCCUGCCCUUUGUACACACCGCCCGUCGCACCUACCGAUUGAAUGGUCCGGUGAAAUCUUCGGAUUGAGACUUUGAUUUCUUCACGGAAAACGCUGUUUUAAGAAGUUGAUUAAACCUUACCAUUUAGAGGAAGGUGAAGUCGUAACA